AUGGAGCCGACCUUGAAAUACCACCCUUUAAUGUUUGAUGUUCUAACGUUGACCCGUAAUCCGGGUUGCGGACAGUGUCUGGUGGGUAGUUUGACUGGGGCGGUCUCCUCCUAAAGAGUAACGGAGGAGCACGAAGGUUGGCUAAUCCUGGUCGGACAUCAGGAGGUUAGUGCAAUGGCAUAAGCCAGCUUGACUGCGAGCGUGACGGCGCGAGCAGGUGCGAAAGCAGGUCAUAGUGAUCCGGUGGUUCUGAAUGGAAGGGCCAUCGCUCAACGGAUAAAAGGUACUCCGGGGAUAACAGGCUGAUACCGCCCAAGAGUUCAUAUCGACGGCGGUGUUUGGCACCUCGAUGUCGGCUCAUCACAUCCUGGGGCUGAAGUAGGUCCCAAGGGUAUGGCUGUUCGCCAUUUAAAGUGGUACGCGAGCUGGGUUUAGAACGUCGUGAGACAGUUCGGUCCCUAUCUGCC
This 467-nucleotide ribosomal RNA is filed under the name Escherichia coli. RNAcentral's name for it is "partial 23S ribosomal RNA". It matches the Rfam family "Bacterial large subunit ribosomal RNA", at positions 2180 to 2646 of the family's 2925-position model. Lineage: Bacteria; Pseudomonadati; Pseudomonadota; Gammaproteobacteria; Enterobacterales; Enterobacteriaceae. The record is from RNAcentral.